Long non-coding RNA from Cajanus cajan (pigeon pea), 462 nucleotides. RefSeq lists it as uncharacterized. The record is from RefSeq and is a predicted model, not a curated record. Lineage: Eukaryota; Viridiplantae; Streptophyta; Magnoliopsida; Fabales; Fabaceae.
AUCAACCAAUGUACAACCAUUUCAAGAGUUCAAGUUAAAAAAAUCGUGUUGGAGCAUAUAUCAUCAUGAAGCUACCAAACACUUUUUUACUUGUGUUGGUUUUGUUUGCUCUCUUGAGUCACACUUAUGGAAAAAUCCAGUUUUGCCCUAAAGAGAUGACUUUUGAUGGGUCAUGUCCACUUGGAACUUCAGGAACAAAGCUGUUUUUCUGAGUUUCUUGCAAGACUGGGAGCAAGUGCCAUGCCAAUGCAUUGCAAUUGUAAAGAUCUUACUUCCCAACAUCAACGCGCAUGCACUUGUGACGUUGUUUGUGGCUCAUGAAUCAUGAUCACAUCCACAAUCUUAAUGCAUAUCAUGCCGGGAAAAUAAAAUGUGUAGAUGAUCUUAUAGCCAUCACACACACCCAAUGUUUCAGUUAUUUAUAGUUCAUGUUAUUUUCAAUUUAAUUAUAUCUGUUUCGCU